GAUGAAGAACGUAGCGAAAUGCGAUAAGUAAUGUGAAUUGCAGAAUUCAGUGAAUCAUCGAAUCUUUGAACGCACAUUGCGCCCGCCAGUAUUCUGGCGGGCAUGCCUGUCCGAGCGUCAUUUCAACCAUCAAGCCCCCGGGCUUGUGUUGGGGACCUGCGGCUGCCCGCAGGCCCUGAAAACCAGUGGCGGGCUCGCUGUCACACCGAGCGUAGUAGCAAUCACCUCGCUCAGGGCGUGCUGCGGGUUCCGGCCGUUAAACAGCCUUACAAAACCCAAGGUUGACCUCGGAUCAGGUAGGAAUACCCGCUGAACUUAAGCAUAUCAAUAAGCGGAGGA
RNAcentral lists this unclassified non-coding RNA (339 nucleotides) under soil metagenome. RNAcentral describes it as "partial contains 5.8S ribosomal RNA, internal transcribed spacer 2, and large subunit ribosomal RNA". The stretch from base 1 to 120 matches the Rfam family "5.8S ribosomal RNA", at positions 35 to 154 of the family's 154-position model. The record is from RNAcentral.